GCAGUCGCCGCGGGAAUACGAAGGGGGCUAGCGUUGCUCGGAAUGACUGGGCGUAAAGGGCGCGUAGGCGGCGAUCAAAGUCAGGCGUGAAAUUCCUGGGCUCAACCUGGGGGCUGCAUUUGAUACGUGCGGGCUUGAGUGGGGAAGAGGGUCGUGGAAUUGCGAGUGUAGAGGUGAAAUUCGUAGAUAUUCGCAGGAACACCAGUGGCGAAGGCGGCUAACUGGUCCAUAACUGACGCUGAGGUGCGAAAGCGUGGGGAGCAAACAGGAUUAGAUACCCCAGUAGUCCCUGUCUCUUAUAC
RNAcentral lists this ribosomal RNA (302 nucleotides) under uncultured bacterium. Its description in RNAcentral is "partial 16S ribosomal RNA". It matches the Rfam family "Bacterial small subunit ribosomal RNA", at positions 508 to 807 of the family's 1533-position model. The record is from RNAcentral.